RNAcentral lists this ribosomal RNA (329 nucleotides) under uncultured eukaryote. Its description in RNAcentral is "partial 18S ribosomal RNA". It matches the Rfam family "Eukaryotic small subunit ribosomal RNA", at positions 1470 to 1796 of the family's 1831-position model. The record is from RNAcentral.
CCCUUAGAUGUUCUGGGCCGCACGCGCGCUACACUGACGCAUUCAACGAGUCUAAAACCUGCUCUGAUAGGGGUGGGUAAUCUUUUGAAUGUGCAUCGUGAUUGGGAUAGAUGAUUGCAAUUUUUCAUCUUCAACGAGGAAUGCCUAGUAAACGCAAGUCAUCAGCUUGCAUUGAUUACGUCCCUGCCCUUUGUACACACCGCCCGUCGCUCCUACCGAUUGAAUGAUCCGAUGGAUAUCAUGGAUUGAGGAUGCAAGUAGGUUCGCCUAUCUUCAUCUUCGAGAAGUGAAGUAAAUCUUAUCAUUUAGAGGAAGGAGAAGUCGUAACA